AGAACAGAAAAUGAUUGUUCUGUAAAUUUGACAUGCACAACAAUAGAGGUCGACUCAUAGGAUCGACUCAUACACAGGGGUCGACUCAUGGGGUCGACUCAAUUGGGUAUGCCAGUCAAAAAAUAGCAUGUCGUUCCACCCCAUUUGAUAUGAGUCGACUCAUGGGGUCGACUUAAUUUUAUAAAUAUUAUUUUUUUUCAAAAUACACAUCCAAAAAUAUUGAGAUUGCCUCCAAA
This 236-nucleotide long non-coding RNA is filed under the name Elaeis guineensis (African oil palm). RNAcentral describes it as "long non-coding RNA (EGUI_LNC072585)". The record is from RNAcentral. Lineage: Eukaryota; Viridiplantae; Streptophyta; Magnoliopsida; Arecales; Arecaceae.